UGCAGUCGAACGAGAACAGUUCCUUCGGGGACUUAGUAAAGUGGCGCACGGGUGAGUAACACGUGGGUAACCUAUCUUGGGGUCCGGGACAACACUUCGAAAGGGGUGCUAAUACCGGAUAAGACCACGCCCUCCACGGAGGGUGAGGUAAAAGGUGGCCUCUCCAUGGAAGCUAUCGCCUGAAGCUGGGCCCGCGCCCCAUCAGCUUGUUGGUGAGGUAACAGCUCACCAAGGCCGAGACGGGUAGCUGGUCUGAGAGGAUGUCCAGCCACACUGGAACUGAGACACGGUCCAGACUCCUACGGGAGGCAGCAGUGGGGAAUAUUGCGCAAUGGGCGAAAGCCUGACGCAGCGACGCCGCGUGAGUGAUGAAGGCCCUCGGGUCGUAAAGCUCUGUCGGAGGGGAACGAAAACGCGUGAGGACCAAUACCCUCACGUCCUGACGGUACCCCUCCAGAAAGCACCGGCUAACUCCGUGCCAGCAGCCGCGGUAAUACGGAGGGUGCAAGCGUUGUUCGGAAUCAUUGGUCGUAAGGAGCGUGUAGGCGGGACAGUAUGUCGGGUGUGAAAGCCCUCGGCUUAACCGAGGAAUUGCAUCCGAAACUGCUGUUCUUGAGUACGGGAGAGGGAAGCGGAAUUUCCAGUGUAGAGGUGAAAUUCGUAGAUAUUGGAAGGAACACCGGUGGCGAAGGCGGCUUCCUGGACCGAUACUGACGCUGAGACGCGAAAGCGUGGGGAGCAAACAGGAUUAGAUACCCUGGUAGUCCACGCUGUAAACGAUGAACACUAGGUGUUGCGGGUGUUGACCCCUGCAGUGCCGUAGCUAACGCGUUAAGUGUUCCGGCUGGGGAUUACGGUCGCAAGACUAAAA
This 871-nucleotide ribosomal RNA is filed under the name uncultured Pseudomonadota bacterium. RNAcentral's name for it is "bacterial SSU rRNA". It matches the Rfam family "Bacterial small subunit ribosomal RNA", at positions 56 to 899 of the family's 1533-position model. Lineage: Bacteria; Pseudomonadati; Pseudomonadota. The record is from RNAcentral.